RNAcentral lists this long non-coding RNA (305 nucleotides) under Elaeis guineensis (African oil palm). RNAcentral describes it as "long non-coding RNA (EGUI_LNC036425)". Lineage: Eukaryota; Viridiplantae; Streptophyta; Magnoliopsida; Arecales; Arecaceae. The record is from RNAcentral.
CCAAAAUCCUCACGCACAUAUCCUCUGAUUUUGGCAUCUCAAAACCUGAUCAUAUCAGCCCUUCAAUGCCCCUUCAGACCCAUGUUUAAAUAGGAAGAGAGGAUAAGGUUUAGGUGAAGAGAUAAGAGUCCAAACUCCUUUGGACUCUACUUUUUUUGUGCCACCCACCUACACAUCUUUUGCACCAAUCUUUCCCAUGAAAAAACUCUCUUGGGUGUGAACUUAUUGCACACUAAAAAGAGGAGUGGGGCAUGGGGUAUUUAGGCAUCAAAUCUGAUUUGGGCGUGGAGCUUUCUUAUGGCAUG